Molecule: ribosomal RNA, 309 nt
Filed under: uncultured bacterium
Lineage: Bacteria
Description: partial 16S ribosomal RNA
Rfam family: Bacterial small subunit ribosomal RNA
Source: RNAcentral
AGAGACAGCAGUAGCCGCGGUAAUACAGAGGGUGCGAGCGUUAAUCGGAUUUACUGGGCGUAAAGCGUGCGUAGGCGGCUUUUUAAGUCGGAUGUGAAAUCCCUUAGCUUAACUUAGGAAUUGCAUUCGAUACUGGGAAGCUAGAGUAUGGGAGAGGAUGGUAGAAUUCCAGGUGUAGCGGUGAAAUGCGUAGAGAUCUGGAGGAAUACCGAUGGCGAAGGCAGCCAUCUGGCCUAAUACUGACGCUGAGGUACGAAAGCAUGGGGAGCAAACAGGAUUAGAUACCCCGGUAGUCCCUGUCUCUUAUAC